UUGGACGCCCGACCUUUGACCUGAAGUUCAGAGAGACGAGAGGAAACAGCAGAGAGAAAGUUCACAUUGAGACACACGUUCAGCCAGUUGUGAGAACAGAGACGAGGAUCACGGAGCUUCACAGCUUCAUGGAUCAGAUUCAUACGAUGAAGAGAAAUAUGAAAAUAACAGAGAUCCAUUUGAAGAUGGUUACAUGAUUUACAAAAACAAUGUAUUUUUGGAUUGGACUGAUUUUAAUGUUCAUUGAAAACAACAAACUAAAAUACAUGAACAUGACAACAAUAUGUUCACAGAAAUGCAAAUUAAAAGUUGUUUGAAAUGAAACUGAACUCAAGUUGCCAGAGUUUAAUAAACAAACAGAAAACCUCUUAAUCAAAUGAAAGACAACUUAAUGAAGUUAAGAGUUAAAUAAUGUUUCCUGUUAAGUUAAAAUCCAGCUGUUGUGUUGUGAGCAGCUGCAGAAACAUUUUUACAGCUGAUAAAGCAAAAGACAACAGACUAAAAUAAAAUAAUAAACCCUUUCAAAACAAAUAUAAUCAGAGAAAUGAAGCAAAUAUUUUCUUUUUCUUAUGAAUUCUCAACACGUUUGACCUGUGACAUGACAGAGAACGAUUGAUCAAUAUUGGACCUCAGCAGCCCAAUGAAGGACAACAUCUGGCUCCACAUCAGCAGCUGGGACACCAUGAAGAUGGUGGUGGAGCUGAUCUGCAGACGUGUUGCUCAAACUCCACCAGCAGGUCUCAUGUUUUCAUAGUUCACUGUGUCAUCUUCUGCAUCAUAACGCACCUAAACAACACAAUCAAAGCCACACUUUACACCCCCACCUCUCUGACGUGCUCCACCCUCCAUGUAGCAUCCACCUUGCGGUUCCCCCUCAUGUGGACACUGUGAGCUCAGUCGCUAAGUGUUAGCUCUGCUAGCAUUGGUGGGCCGUUAGCACCGUUAGCUGCUAGAAGCUCUAAAGCGACUCGUGAUGGAGUGAAGAAAUACUGCAGAUAAGAACGUCAUGAAGCGAUGAAG
Gasterosteus aculeatus aculeatus (three-spined stickleback) is the source of this 1020-nucleotide long non-coding RNA. NCBI's taxonomy places the organism in Eukaryota, Metazoa, Chordata, Actinopteri, Perciformes, Gasterosteidae. The record is from Ensembl.